RNAcentral lists this ribosomal RNA (253 nucleotides) under uncultured bacterium. RNAcentral describes it as "partial 16S ribosomal RNA". It matches the Rfam family "Bacterial small subunit ribosomal RNA", at positions 524 to 776 of the family's 1533-position model. The record is from RNAcentral.
GACAGAGGGUGCAAACGUUGCUCGGAAUUACUGGGCGUAAAGCGCACGUAGGCGGCUUUCUAAGUCGGGGGUGAAAUCCUGGAGCUCAACUCCAGAACUGCCUUCGAUACUGGAGAGCUUGAGUCCGGGAGAGGUGAGUGGAACUGCGAGUGUAGAGGUGAAAUUCGUAGAUAUUCGCAAGAACACCAGUGGCGAAGGCGGCUCACUGGCCCGGUACUGACGCUGAGGUGCGAAAGCGUGGGGAGCAAACAGG